RNAcentral lists this long non-coding RNA (933 nucleotides) under Mus pahari (shrew mouse). RNAcentral's name for it is "lncRNA (MGP_PahariEiJ_G0003382.1)". The record is from RNAcentral. Lineage: Eukaryota; Metazoa; Chordata; Mammalia; Rodentia; Muridae.
CAUUAGCAGCUACGAGGCUGGGUUUGCUGGGACUGAGCAUGUAUGGCCAAGAUAGAGCUCUCCUCUGGAAUACAAGAGACGCUGGGUUUGGUUCCCACAACAGUCAGACAGCGCUCUGAAGCUUCAGAGGGGAUGAGGGGGUUGAGCGGCUCUCCCAAUCCACUCACCCGUGUCUUCCUCUUCUUGCCUGUUGGGGUUCAAAGCCAUGACUUGCACUGUCACAGAGUUUCGGGAGACUGUGCCGCCACUUCGCCCUGGAGGCCACACCUUAUGAGUCUGCAUGUGCUUCUUGACGUUAGACUUCUGGGCAAAGGCACGGCCACACGCGAUGCACUGAAAGGGCUUCUCCCCUGUGUGGCUGUAGGAACAAGGCCCACGGAUGGGCAGAGGGCCUGAGAAGGGUACCUCACUUCCCGGCCCCCGCCCCCAGGGCUACCUUCGGAUGUGCUGCUGAAGAUCAAAGUUCUUGGUGAAUGACUUGUCACAGUAGGAGCACUUGAGUUUCUGGGCUUUUGGCUUCCCUGCAGCUGAAAGGCAAUGGAGGAGAAGGAGGGUCAGGUGAGGUCCCAGCAGAGGGAACCUGGGAACCGCUUCUCCCCUGUCCCUAGUGUCAGACAGGGCACACGCUGGAAACAUCUCUAUUUAUGUGUAGGCAGUGUAAGAGGGAAAGUCCAAGGCUUGCUCUGAAGGGAACAGACAAAAGCUCUCUCAAAGCCUUCCUCUGCCUCACGAUGAAACCCACCCUCUUUGGCCUUCAGAACUCCACAUCCUCAGCCUCUGCCAACUUCAGCAUCCCUCUGUCUUGGAAUGGACUCCUUGCUCCUCAUGAUGCCCGCACACAUGGUCUUCCCUCAGGACUUUGUACCUGCUCAUCCCCCUGCCUGGAAAGCUUGCUCCCAGGUACCAACAUGACUACUUCCUUCCCUCCAGAAA